Molecule: long non-coding RNA, 2008 nt
Organism: Coturnix japonica (Japanese quail)
Lineage: Eukaryota; Metazoa; Chordata; Aves; Galliformes; Phasianidae
Source: Ensembl
GGGUCCCCUUUAUAGAGGUCCAUUAUUUGGGGAGGUCACUUGGGGGGGGGUCCCCACUUUCGCGGGUCUCCCACGUAGNACCAUGAUCCCAUUACCACCAUGGUCCCAUUACAACCAUGAUCCCAUUAUUACCACCAUGAUCCCAUUACCACCAUGAUCCCAUUACCACCAUGAUCCCAUUACAACCAUGAUCCCAUUACCACCAUGAUCCCAUUACCACCAUCCCAUUACCACCAUCAUCCCCCAUUGUCCCCAUUGUCUCAUUGUCCCAUUUUCCCCAUUGUCCCCCUUGUCCCCAUCAUCCCCCAUUGUCCCCAUUGUCCCAUUGUCCCAUUGUCCCCAUUAUCCCAUUGUCCCCAUCAUCCCCCAUUGUCCCCAUUGUCCCCAUUGUCCCAUUGUCCCAUUGUCCCAUUGUCCCCAUUAUUCCAUUGUCCCCAUUGUCUCAUUGUCCCCCAUUAUGCCACAUUGUGCCCAUUAUCCCAUUAUCCCAUUGUCCCAUUGUCCCAUUGACCCCCAUUGUGCCCAUUAUCCCAUUAUCCCAUUGUCCCAUUGUCCCCAUUGACCCCCAUUGUGCCCAUUAUCCCAUUAUCCCAUUAUCCCAUUGUCCCCAUUAUCCCAUUCUCCCAUUCUCCCAUUUUCCCAUUAUCCCAUUGUCUCAUUGUCCCCCAUUGUCCCAUCAUCCCCCAUUGUCCCACUGUCCCCCAUUGUCCAUUAUCCCAUUGUCCCAUUACCACAUUGUCCCAUUGUCCCAUUGUCCUCCAUUGUCCCCAUUGUCCCCCAUUGUCCCCAUUGUCCCAUUGUCCCCCAUUGUCCCAUUGUCCCCCAUUGUCCCCAUUAGCCCAUUGUCCCCCAUUGUCCCAUUGUCCCAUUAUUGUCCCAUUGUCCCAUUGUCCCAUUGUCCCAUUGUCCCAUUGUCCCAUUAUUGUCCCAUUGUCCCAUUGUCCCAUUGUCCCAUUGUCCCAUUAUUGUCCCAUUGUCCCAUUGUCCCAUUGUCCCAUUGUCCCAUUAUUGUCCCAUUAUUGUCCCAUUGUCCCAUUAUUGUCCCAUUGUCCCAUUGUCCCAUUGUCCUCCAUUGUCCCCAUUGUCCCCACUGUCCCAUUGUCCCCCAUUGUCCCAUUGUCCCAUUAUUGUCCCAUUGUCCCAUUGUCCCAUUGUCCCAUUGUCCCAUUGUCCCAUUGUCCCAUUGUCCCAUUAUUGUCCCAUUGUCCCAUUGUCCCAUUGUCCCAUUGUCCCCAUUGUCCCCACUGUCCCAUUGUCCCCAUUGUCCCCACUGUCCCAUUGUCCCCCAUUGUCCCCCAUUGUCCCCAUUAUUUCCCAUUGUCCCAUUGUCCCAUUAUUGUCCCAUUGUCCCAUUGUCCCCAUUGUCCCUAAUAUCCCCAUUGUCGCAUUGUCCCCAUUGUCCCAUUGUCCCAUUGUCCCCAUUGUCCCAUUGUCCCCAAUAUCCCCUUGUCCCCAUUGCCCCCAUUGUCCCAUUGUCCCAUUGUCCCCCAUUGUCCCAUUGUCCCAUUAUUGUCCCAUUAUUGUCCCAUUGUCCCAUUAUUGUCCCAUUGUCCCAUUGUCCCAUUGUCCCAUUGUCCCAUUAUCCCAUUGUCCCAUUCUCCCAUUGUCCAAUUGUCCCCCGCCAUUGUCCCCCAUUGUCUCAUUGUCCCACUGUCCCAUUGUCCCAUUGUCCCCAUUAUCCCCAUUGUCCCAUUGUCCCAUUGUCCCAUUGUCCCCAUUAUUGUCCCAUUGUCCCAUUGUCCCAUUGUCCCAUUAUCCCAUUAUCCCCCAUUGUCCCAUUAUCCUAUUGUCGCAUUAUCCUCCAUUAUCCCCCAUUAUCCCCCAUUAUCCCAUUAUCCCAUUAUCCCCUAUUAUCCCAUUAUCCCCCAUUAUCCCAUUAUCCCAUUAUCCCCUAUUAUCCCAUUAUCCCCCAUUAUCCCCCAUUACCCCAUUACCCCAUUAUCCCCCAUUACCCCAUUACCCCAUUACCCCAUUAUCCCCUAUUAUCCCCCAUUAUCCCAUUAUCCCC